RNAcentral lists this ribosomal RNA (158 nucleotides) under uncultured Gardnerella sp. RNAcentral's name for it is "partial 16S ribosomal RNA". It matches the Rfam family "Bacterial small subunit ribosomal RNA", at positions 358 to 527 of the family's 1533-position model. Lineage: Bacteria; Bacillati; Actinomycetota; Actinomycetes; Bifidobacteriales; Bifidobacteriaceae. The record is from RNAcentral.
GGGUGAUUGCGCAUGGGGGGAACCCUGAGCAGCGACGCCGCGUGCGGGAUGAAGGCCUUCGGGUUGUAAACCGCUUUUGAUUGGGAGCAAGCUUUUUGGGGGAUGGUCCUUUUCAAUUAACCCCCGGUUAAUUCCUGCCCACCGCCCGGGGAAUUCCA